This 253-nucleotide ribosomal RNA is filed under the name uncultured bacterium. RNAcentral's name for it is "partial 16S ribosomal RNA". It matches the Rfam family "Bacterial small subunit ribosomal RNA", at positions 524 to 776 of the family's 1533-position model. The record is from RNAcentral.
UACGUAGGGUGCAAGCGUUGUCCGGAAUUAUUGGGCGUAAAGAGCUCGUAGGCGGUCUGUCGCGUCUGCUGUGAAAACACGGGGCUUAACCCCGUGCCUGCUUCCGAUACGGGCAGACUAGAGGUAUGCAGGGGAGAACGGAAUUCCUGGUGUAGCGGUGAAAUGCGCAGAUAUCAGGAGGAACACCGGUGGCGAAGGCGGUUCUCUGGGCAUUACCUGACGCUGAGGAGCGAAAGUGUGGGGAGCGAACAGG